CUUUACUGCAACUUGACGUUGGGACUUGGCUGUAUUUGUGUAGGAUAGGUGGGAGACUUUGAAGCAGGGCCGCCAGGUCUUGCGGAGUCGUCGUUGAAAUACCACCCUGGUGCUGACGAGUUUCUAACCGUGUCCGUAAGCCGGACAUGAGACAGCGUCUGGUGGGCAGUUUGACUGGGGCGGUCGCCUCCUAAAAGGUAACGGAGGCAUUCAAAGGUCCCCUCAGCGUGGUCGGUAAUCACGCGCAGAGUGCAAACGCAUAAGGGGGCUUAACUGCGAGACCGACAGGUCGAGCAGGUACGAAAGUAGGAGUUAGUGAUCCCGCGGUUUAGCGUGGAAUUGCCGUUGCUCAACGGAUAAAAGGUA
Molecule: ribosomal RNA, 366 nt
Filed under: uncultured organism
Description: bacterial LSU rRNA
Rfam family: Bacterial large subunit ribosomal RNA
Source: RNAcentral